RNAcentral lists this ribosomal RNA (429 nucleotides) under Chloroflexota bacterium. RNAcentral describes it as "Chloroflexi bacterium partial 16S ribosomal RNA". It matches the Rfam family "Bacterial small subunit ribosomal RNA", at positions 355 to 776 of the family's 1533-position model. Lineage: Bacteria; Bacillati; Chloroflexota. The record is from RNAcentral.
UGGGGAAUAUUGCACAAUGAGCGCAAGCCUGAUGCAGCCAUGCCGCGUGUAUGAAGAAGGCCUUCGGGUUGUAAAGUACUUUCAGUCGGGAGGAAGGUGGUAAGGUUAAUAACCUUAUCAAUUGACGUUACCGACAGAAGAAGCACCGGCUAACUCCGUGCCAGCAGCCGCGGUAAUACGGAGGGUGCAAGCGUUAAUCGGAAUUACUGGGCGUAAAGCGCACGCAGGCGGUUGAUUGAGUCAGAUGUGAAAUCCCCGGGCUUAACCCGGGAAUUGCAUCUGAUACUGGUCAGCUAGAGUCUUGUAGAGGGGGGUAGAAUUCCAUGUGUAGCGGUGAAAUGCGUAGAGAUGUGGAGGAAUACCGGUGGCGAAGGCGGCCCCCUGGACAAAGACUGACGCUCAGGUGCGAAAGCGUGGGGAGCAAACAGG